Dermochelys coriacea (leatherback sea turtle) is the source of this 424-nucleotide long non-coding RNA. RefSeq lists it as uncharacterized. The transcript has 3 exons. NCBI's taxonomy places the organism in Eukaryota, Metazoa, Chordata, Testudines, Dermochelyidae. The record is from RefSeq and is a predicted model, not a curated record.
UGCACCCAAACUCCCUCCCAGAAAGAAACAAAUAUAACAGCUGUUCUAAGGGGCUGUAAACUCAAGCACCUCCAUCUCAGGCCAGGGUGUGUGCCUUUGAACUCCCUGCUGGGGACUCUACGGAUACAAAGGCACCUGCAGAAAGACUGCAGUUUGAAAUUGUAUGAAAACACCCCUGCCAUAUGAGUCCAGAGGGGAUUAUGGAGCAAUAAGGAAGCUGUGAACUUGAUGGAAUCCUGGUCAGGAAUAGCAUGAAGGAUCUUGUGAAGCAGCAUCUUCCCUUAAGUUCAUGGUAUACAACUAGCAACAAAGGUCAAAUCUGAAUCCAAAUGUGAAGGUUCAGGAAAGUGGUUCCAGUUCAAUAUGCAUGAAACGUGAGCAGCAAUGAAUGGUGACAAAAAUACAUAAAGUUCCUGUAAAAUCU